AACUCCGUGCCAGCAGCCGCGGUAAUACGGAGGGUGCGAGCGUUAAUCGGAAUUACUGGGCGUAAAGCGCAUGCAGGUGGUUUGUUAAGUCAGAUGUGAAAGCCCGGGGCUCAACCUCGGAAUUGCAUUUGAAACUGGCAGACUAGAGUACUGUAGAGGGGGGUAGAAUUUCAGGUGUAGCGGUGAAAUGCGUAGAGAUCUGAAGGAAUACCGGUGGCGAAGGCGGCCCCCUGGACAGAUACUGACACUCAGAUGCGAAAGCGUGGGGAGCAAACAGGAUUAGAUACCCUGGUAGUCCACGCCGUAAACGAUGUCUACUUGGAGGUUGU
This 329-nucleotide ribosomal RNA is filed under the name Vibrio parahaemolyticus. RNAcentral's name for it is "bacterial SSU rRNA". It matches the Rfam family "Bacterial small subunit ribosomal RNA", at positions 499 to 827 of the family's 1533-position model. Lineage: Bacteria; Pseudomonadati; Pseudomonadota; Gammaproteobacteria; Vibrionales; Vibrionaceae. The record is from RNAcentral.